Molecule: long non-coding RNA, 415 nt
Organism: Teleopsis dalmanni
Lineage: Eukaryota; Metazoa; Arthropoda; Insecta; Diptera; Diopsidae
Exons: 3
Source: RefSeq, a predicted model, not a curated record
UUCAAUGAAAUCGUAGAUUUUUUUUGAAGAGAGUUUCUCUUUUGGUUAUCAACGGAUAUAAUGAAUGAUUGACUGGUGGAAGGAAGCACAUACAAUAUUUAAAAGCAAUUACAAUGAAAACAUAUAUAUACAUGUAUAUAUACAUAUAUGAAAAUUUAUAGUACAAAUCUAUAAUGAAAAAAUAACCCCAAAAGAAUUACUUUAAUUAAAACUCUCAAGUGGAUCAAAGUAAAUCUGUUGAAAUCAAUUAAGCAUAUCACUUGAGAUAUGUAUACCUGAUGAUUUUACAGGAUUUAUUUAAGCGAUCUUUUAUGGGAUCAUUACUUAAUUUGUGUUAAUUAACUAAUUACCAUUAGUUUAAUUUGAUCUUGAUAAAAACUUUCUGAAAAAUAAAUUUAAAAUAGAUAUACGUAUA